CCCUUAGAUGUUCUGGGCAGCACGCGCGCUACAAUGGUCUUCGCAAACGGAUGCAUUCUCGAAGGAGAAUGCCAAUCUUGGAAUCUAUGCCUUGGUCGGGACAGUUGCUUGCAAUUUUUCGACUCGAACCAGGAAUUCCUUGUAAUCGUGAUUCAUCACAUCACGAUGAAUACGUCCCUGCCCUUUGUACACACCGCCCGUCGCUCCUACCGAUCGAAGAGUUAGGUGAAUUGUUUUGAUCGAUAAGAUUUGACUAUGGUCAACUCUCGUUGUGAAAUUCUGUUAAUCUGACUGUUUAGAGGAAGGAAAAGUCGUAACA
RNAcentral lists this ribosomal RNA (319 nucleotides) under uncultured eukaryote. RNAcentral's name for it is "partial 18S ribosomal RNA". It matches the Rfam family "Eukaryotic small subunit ribosomal RNA", at positions 1470 to 1796 of the family's 1831-position model. The record is from RNAcentral.